This is a long non-coding RNA of Lycium ferocissimum, 277 nucleotides long. RefSeq lists it as uncharacterized. NCBI's taxonomy places the organism in Eukaryota, Viridiplantae, Streptophyta, Magnoliopsida, Solanales, Solanaceae. The transcript is spliced from 2 exons. The record is from RefSeq and is a predicted model, not a curated record.
GUGUAUUCCUUUUUGUUUGGAGUUCUAAUGAUAAUAAUAAUAAUAAUAAUAAUAAAAUAUUUCAAUAUAUUGUGGGAAUAAUAGAGAAGAUUAAUAAAUUUAGAACCUAGCUUCUUUAUUCAUAUGCUUCAUAAGCAGUAUUACAUAGAACGGAAUAUCAAAAAUACAUACAAGCGAUAGAUCGAUAUCCACAUUAUUUAGAAAGCCAGGUUAAGCAUAAUUAAUUAUGCAUCAGUAGUACUCUUCUGGACUUUCUUGAAGACAACCAUUAAAGGCU